UUAUGGGGAAUUAGGACUGUUACCUUGAAAAAUUAGAGUGUUUAAAGCAGGCUUACGCUUGAAUACAUUAGCAUGGAAUAAUGAAAUAGGACAUCAGAUUCUAUUUUGUUGGUUUCUAGGAUCGAUGUAAUGAUUAAUAGGGAUAGUUGGGGGCAUUAGUAUUCAAUUGUCAGAGGUGAAAUUCUUGGAUUUAUUGAAGACUAACUACUGCGAAAGCAUUUGCCAAGGAUGUUUUCAUUAAUCAAGAACGAAAGUUAGGGGAUCGAAGACGAUCAGAUACCGUCGUAGUCUUAACCAUAAACUAUGCCGACUAGGGAUCGGAUGAUGUUAAUUUUUAAUGACUCAUUCGGCGCCUUACG
Molecule: ribosomal RNA, 359 nt
Filed under: uncultured Septoglomus
Lineage: Eukaryota; Fungi; Glomeromycota; Glomeromycetes; Glomerales; Glomeraceae
Description: SSU rRNA
Rfam family: Eukaryotic small subunit ribosomal RNA
Source: RNAcentral